AUCGUUCGGUUCAUGAGCAUGAUGAUCGGGUGUUCAUGCCUUAUGCAUGAGAUGUGCCUCCCUCAAACCAUGUUACAACAUGGGCACAUUACCUGUCUGAUG
Molecule: small nucleolar RNA, 102 nt
Organism: Octodon degus (degu)
Lineage: Eukaryota; Metazoa; Chordata; Mammalia; Rodentia; Octodontidae
Product: small nucleolar RNA U13
Exons: 1
Source: RefSeq, a predicted model, not a curated record